UGCUGUGAUAAAGCACUGUGACCUAAGGA
RNAcentral lists this non-coding RNA (29 nucleotides) under Mus musculus (house mouse). The record is from RNAcentral. Lineage: Eukaryota; Metazoa; Chordata; Mammalia; Rodentia; Muridae.